GUGUCAGCAGCCGCGGUAACACGUAGGGGCCAAGCGUUGUCCGGAUUUAUUGGGCGUAAAGAGCUCGUAGGCGGUUGGGUAAGUCGGGUGUGAAAACUCCAGGCUCAACUUGGAGACGCCACCCGAUACUGCUCUGACUUGAGUUCGGUAGGGGAGUGGGGAAUUCCUGGUGUAGCGGUGAAAUGCGCAGAUAUCAGGAGGAACACCGGUGGCGAAGGCGCCACUCUGGGCCGAAACUGACGCUGAGGAGCGAAAGCGUGGGUAGCAAACAGGAUUAGAAACCCCCGUAGUCC
RNAcentral lists this ribosomal RNA (293 nucleotides) under uncultured bacterium. Its description in RNAcentral is "partial 16S ribosomal RNA". It matches the Rfam family "Bacterial small subunit ribosomal RNA", at positions 505 to 796 of the family's 1533-position model. The record is from RNAcentral.